This is a long non-coding RNA of Musa acuminata subsp. malaccensis (wild Malaysian banana), 902 nucleotides long. RefSeq lists it as uncharacterized. Lineage: Eukaryota; Viridiplantae; Streptophyta; Magnoliopsida; Zingiberales; Musaceae. The record is from RefSeq and is a predicted model, not a curated record.
CACACUCUUCUUCUUCGAUGCCGUUAACACAUUCCCCGCCGCAGACCAAGCUGGGGAAGAGGGAAGGGGGAAGAUAAAGAGGGAUCCCAGGGUUGGGCAAUCGCGCGGAGGCUCGCGUUUCCGCGGUGGCCGCCGGCAAAGCAUAUGGACUUGGGCUUGAGCAAGACGGAGUCUACCUCACGGCGACGGCGACCGGGCUACCGAAGCUGCCUCGCGCACACCCUCGAUGUGCUCCAUUUCCUCGAGCACCUUCACUCAUCCUCUGGGGUGGACCCAUUGAUGUCAGAGCUCAGCUCCUGUGGACUGAUGGAUCUUACAAGGGAUCCAAUUUGAAGUGAAGAGGAUCCUACCGUCUAGAUAAAGGAAUAUUAGGACAUUUGCGAGGUUGACAGAAACACUGUCAGGACCAAGAUGACAGAUUCCUGAAGAAGAGCUUUUUUAUUCCAACAAGGCUGAAGGUUAGUUUCUUUCCAGAAAAAUAAUAUGAUCAAAAUUUAAUUCAGGUUUCUGAUAUGAUUAGCAUAUUUCAUUUGUGGUAGACAUUGCCUGUACUUCAUCUGCAAUAGCUGACUAGAUUACCGGUGGAAUCUCAUUUUCAUAGUUCAUCACUGUUGGAACUUCAUUGUCAUCCGAUGCAUAAUAUCUUAUGCCCUACUAGCUGAUCCAGCAACCAAUCCCUGAAACGAAAUUCGAUAUCCACGAUUGCACUGGCUUGGAGUAGACAUACAACUCAGGGUUUGGUGUCAAGUCUCCCAUCUACCAGAUCAACUGGUAUUAUUGAUCAUAAAUGCCAUGUAUGUAGCCUUUCAAGGAUUACAGCUAGAUCUCGUGGUGACCAUAUUAUUUUAGGUGAAGGUCCUUGUUUUGACGAGAAAAGAAAAAAAGGUAUUGUGGUUGGUGUG